Pleuronectes platessa (European plaice) is the source of this 255-nucleotide long non-coding RNA. RefSeq lists it as uncharacterized. NCBI's taxonomy places the organism in Eukaryota, Metazoa, Chordata, Actinopteri, Pleuronectiformes, Pleuronectidae. The record is from RefSeq and is a predicted model, not a curated record. The transcript has 3 exons.
UGAAGGGGGUUUGUCAAGAGGCAGACGCUGUGUCGGGAAAAGUCUCUUUUGUUUGCUCUGUGUCUUUCAGACAGUUGAUGUGAGGGGCGCCGCUGGUUUGGGCAGUUGUGGCCCUGCAGCUGGCUGAGUCAUGGGGAACGAGACCAGCACAACCGAGGCGUUGCCAGAAGAGGGCGCUCCAGAGAAUGUUGUUCUGUUUCCACCACAGGAAACUCACAAUGACAGCUUUCAGGUACUACAACUUCUGUGUGUUUG